GGGUUGUGAGGUUAAGCGACUAAGCGUACACGGUGGAUGCCCUGGCAGUCAGAGGCGAUGAAGGACGUGCUAAUCUGCGAAAAGCGUCGGUAAGGUGAUAUGAACCGUUAUAGCCGGCGAUGUCCGAAUGGGGAAACCCAGUGCAAUUCGUUGCACUAUCGUUAACUGAAUACAUAGGUUAACGAGGCGAACCGGGGGAACUGAAACAUCUAAGUACCCCGAGGAAAAGAAAUCAACCGAGAUUCCCCCAGUAGCGGCGAGCGAACGGGGAGCAGCCCAGAGUCUGAAUCAGCUUGUGUGUUAGUGGAACGGUCUGGAAAGUCCGACGGUACAGGGUGAUAGUCCCGUACACCAAAAUGCACAGGCUGUGAACUCGAAGAGUAGGGCGGGACACGUGGUAUCCUGUCUGAAUAUGGGGGGACCAUCCUCCAAGGCUAAAUACUCCUGACUGACCGAUAGUGAACCAGUACCGUGAGGGAAAGGCGAAAAGAACCCCGGCGAGGGGAGUGAAAAAGAACCUGAAACCGUGUACGUACAAGCAGUGGGAGCACCUUCGGGUGUGACUGCGUACCUUUUGUAUAAUGGGUCAGCGACUUAUAUUCUGUAGCAAGGUUAACCGUAUAGGGGAGCCGCAGGGAAACCGAGUCUUAACUGGGCGUUAAGUUGCAGGGUAUAGACCCGAAACCCGGUGAUCUAGCCAUGGGCAGGUUGAAGGUUGGGUAACACUAACUGGAGGACCGAACCGACUAAUGUUGAAAAAUUAGCGGAUGACUUGUGGCUGGGGGUGAAAGGCCAAUCAAACCGGGAGAUAGCUGGUUCUCCCCGAAAGCUAUUUAGGUAGCGCCUCGUGAAUUCAUCUUCGGGGGUAGAGCACUGUUUCGGCUAGGGGGUCAUCCCGACUUACCAACCCGAUGCAAACUACGAAUACCGAAGAAUGUUAUCACGGGAGACACACGGCGGGUGCUAACGUCCGUCGUGAAGAGGGAAACAACCCAGACCGCCAGCUAAGGUCCCAAAGUCAUGGUUAAGUGGGAAACGAUGUGGGAAGGCACAGACAGCCAGGAUGUUGGCUUAGAAGCAGCCAUCAUUUAAAGAAAGCGUAAUAGCUCACUGGUCGAGUCGGCCUGCGCGGAAGAUGUAACGGGGCUAAACCAUGCACCGAAGCUGCGGCAGCGACACUAUGUGUUGUUGGGUAGGGGAGCGUUCUGUAAGCCUGCGAAGGUGUGCUGUGAGGCAUGCUGGAGGUAUCAGAAGUGCGAAUGCUGACAUAAGUAACGAUAAAGCGGGUGAAAAGCCCGCUCGCCGGAAGACCAAGGGUUCCUGUCCAACGUUAAUCGGGGCAGGGUGAGUCGACCCCUAAGGCGAGGCCGAAAGGCGUAGUCGAUGGGAAACAGGUUAAUAUUCCUGUACUUGGUGUUACUGCGAAGGGGGGACGGAGAAGGCUAUGUUAGCCGGGCGACGGUUGUCCCGGUUUAAGCAUGUAGGUUGGUUAUCCAGGCAAAUCCGGAUAAUCAAGGCUGAGGUGUGAUGACGAGGCACUACGGUGCUGAAGUAACAAAUGCCCUGCUUCCAGGAAAAGCCUCUAAGCAUCAGGUAACAUCAAAUCGUACCCCAAACCGACACAGGUGGUCAGGUAGAGAAUACCAAGGCGCUUGAGAGAACUCGGGUGAAGGAACUAGGCAAAAUGGUGCCGUAACUUCGGGAGAAGGCACGCUGGUGUGUAGGUGAAGCCCCUGCGGGUGGAGCUGAGACCAGUCGAAGAUACCAGCUGGCUGCAACUGUUUAUUAAAAACACAGCACUGUGCAAACACGAAAGUGGACGUAUACGGUGUGACGCCUGCCCGGUGCCGGAAGGUUAAUUGAUGGGGUUAUCCGUAAGGAGAAGCUCUUGAUCGAAGCCCCGGUAAACGGCGGCCGUAACUAUAACGGUCCUAAGGUAGCGAAAUUCCUUGUCGGGUAAGUUCCGACCUGCACGAAUGGCGUAAUGAUGGCCAGGCUGUCUCCACCCGAGACUCAGUGAAAUUGAACUCGCUGUGAAGAUGCAGUGUACCCGCGGCAAGACGGAAAGACCCCGUGAACCUUUACUAUAGCUUGACACUGAACAUUGAGCCUUGAUGUGUAGGAUAGGUGGGAGGCUUUGAAGCGUGGACGCCAGUCUGCGUGGAGCCAACCUUGAAAUACCACCCUUUAAUGUUUGAUGUUCUAACGUUGGCCCCUGACCGGGGUUGCGGACAGUGUCUGGUGGGUAGUUUGACUGGGGCGGUCUCCUCCCAAAGCGUAACGGAGGAGCACGAAGGUUAGCUAAUCCUGGUCGGACAUCAGGAGGUUAGUGCAAUGGCAUAAGCUAGCUUGACUGCGAGCGUGACGGCGCGAGCAGGUGCGAAAGCAGGUCAUAGUGAUCCGGUGGUUCUGAAUGGAAGGGCCAUCGCUCAACGGAUAAAAGGUACUCCGGGGAUAACAGGCUGAUACCGCCCAAGAGUUCAUAUCGACGGCGGUGUUUGGCACCUCGAUGUCGGCUCAUCACAUCCUGGGGCUGAAGUAGGUCCCAAGGGUAUGGCUGUUCGCCAUUUAAAGUGGUACGCGAGCUGGGUUUAGAACGUCGUGAGACAGUUCGGUCCCUAUCUGCCGUGGGCGCUGGAGAAUUGAGGGGGGCUGCUCCUAGUACGAGAGGACCGGAGUGGACGCAUCACUGGUGUUCGGGUUGUCAUGCCAAUGGCACUGCCCGGUAGCUAAAUGCGGAAGAGAUAAGUGCUGAAAGCAUCUAAGCACGAAACUUGCCCCGAGAUGAGUUCUCCCUGAGACUUUAAGUCUCCUGAAGGAACGUUAAAGACGAUGACGUUGAUAGGCCGGGUGUGUAAGCGCAGCGAUGCGUUGAGCUAACCGGUACUAAUGAACCGUGAGGCUUAACCUUACAACGCCGAAG
This 2923-nucleotide ribosomal RNA is filed under the name Klebsiella pneumoniae. Its description in RNAcentral is "bacterial LSU rRNA". It matches the Rfam family "Bacterial large subunit ribosomal RNA". The record is from RNAcentral. Lineage: Bacteria; Pseudomonadati; Pseudomonadota; Gammaproteobacteria; Enterobacterales; Enterobacteriaceae.